RNAcentral lists this ribosomal RNA (435 nucleotides) under Eurycratera jamaicensis. Its description in RNAcentral is "partial 16S ribosomal RNA". It matches the Rfam family "Archaeal large subunit ribosomal RNA", at positions 1956 to 2671 of the family's 2987-position model. The record is from RNAcentral. Lineage: Eukaryota; Metazoa; Mollusca; Gastropoda; Stylommatophora; Pleurodontidae.
ACCUAGGUGUAUUUAAUACCUAGCUUUUUCUGCUCCAUGAACACUUAAAUAGCCGCAGUACCCUGACUGUGCAAAGGUAGCAUAAUCAGUUGGCUUUUAAUUGAAGUCUUGUAUGAACGAAUAGACGGGUAAGGUCUGUCUCUGAGAGCUAAGUAGAACUUUUUUAGUAAGUGAAAAUACUUUUAGUUACAUAAAAGACGAGAAGACCCUAGAAAUUUUUUAAAAAGAGUUUACUUAUACUCUUCUAUUUUGCUGGGGCGGCAAAGUAACACAUAAAACUUGCUUUAUAGAUAAGAAGUUUUUAUACAGGAAAAUAAUAAUUACUCUAGGGAUAACAGCAUAAUGUUUCAGCGUUUGUGACCUCGAUGUUGGAUUAGGGUAGACAAUACUCAGAAGGUAUUGUUUUUGUUCUGUUCGAACACUAGCCCCUACAUG